CUCAGCUCAGGUCCUCAGACACACCUCCUCCAGCUGACUGGGAUGGGUGUGGAGCACUGCCUGCCUCUCCCUCCUAACCCAGGAAUGAAGGGAAUUCUCAAGCUCUGCCUUCCACCUUACAGACAAACAGCAUGAGGUCAAGGAGGAAGGCAUUUUGCACCAGGCCAUACAGCUAGCGAUGUGCCCACCUGCACAGCUAGUUACUCAUGGUGCUGGCAGCUGGGUGUGGAGUGACUCACUGCUUUGUGGGGACAGAGAGACAUGUACUUUGCCUCUAUCCACGAGGCAAGGAGCAGUUCAUGCUGAUUUACUACAUCCAGAGUGGGACAAAGGCAGGUUUCUACACUGGCCAAAUGGGGCUGUUAUAAUUAAAGCUUUGGGUAGGUUAUAUUAUAUUUUCUUUCAGUAAGUUUUCUAUGGUUUCUGUAAUUUCAGUAGAAUCUCCCUUAAUUGGAUAUUGGUUGUUAAAACUGGGUUUGGUGGGUGGGAGUUCUAUGUCUGAUAUCUUUGCUAUUGAUAAAUUGGAUGGAA
Long non-coding RNA from Erinaceus europaeus (western European hedgehog), 531 nucleotides. RefSeq lists it as uncharacterized. Lineage: Eukaryota; Metazoa; Chordata; Mammalia; Eulipotyphla; Erinaceidae. The record is from RefSeq and is a predicted model, not a curated record. The transcript is spliced from 5 exons.